UUUUAGAUAGAAUGUUCUAACAUGAAAUCUGAAGCUGCAGAGCAGAUGUAGGGAGUGGUAGGUUGAGAUCCGACUUAGAUUUACUUCCCAAAGAAAAUACUUUUUAUUUUGGAAAGGCAAGUAUAAGUUUUAAACAUGGUUUGAAUAACUUCACUAAAGAGAAUAAAUUGGCUCAUGUAAAAUGCUCUUUUAUGAAUUCCCCUCGUCGUAUUUUGUUAGUGUUGCCAGGGUUUCUUUAAUUAAUUUGUAAAUCAUAUUGAGACCUUUGGCCUCAAGUUGUAAGAAAACUGCAUACUAUUUUAGCAUUAUGAUUUCUAAAAGAGCUUCCAUAUGACUCCAGGGGCAAAACAAUACGUGAGAUGCUGCUAUUAUGAAGGAAGAAACCUUUGGAGUAGGAGUGUUAUGGACAUUUGAAAGGAGAAUCCUAAGAAGCAUGGAACUUAAUAUGUGGAGACCCAGCACCUGAGAGGAGCGCUGUGGAAGACGGGAAGAAGGAGAAUAUCAUAAAUCAAUGCAUGGAAGCAUUCAACCAAAGGGAAGACCUGCUCCACACAGAGAACAGCGCUGGGAAUUGAAUCUUACGAUAAAGAAAAAGAAGACCUGCAAACUUCUUUCUCUUGUGUCUCUGACAGCUGAUGGAGAGAUGGAAACCCUCAUUGUCAUUUGGCCCUAACCAAGCCUAACAGAAAGCCUAUCACUUGGGGAAUCCAAAAAUGUCUUUAAAUUUUUGUCAAAUAUGUGUUCAGAAGAGGAAUCACCACCAGCCAUUCCCAGAGAGAAAUGUUGGUUGUUGAUUCCCGUCUCCGCAGGGUGUCAGCUGCAUUUGGAACAGAGCCUCAGGAGGAACAGCAAGGAAAGCUCUUUUUUGCUUUUGCAGGUCUAUGACUGCUCCCUACCAGCUCAGAAGGAAAUUCCAUGCAGAAUACUAAAUGAGAUCUCUGUUCUCUCGCCAUUUUGUACUCUGCAUUGUCGUUGUCGUGUUUGGCUAUUGCUUGCUGUAGUAACCAAGGCAUUGCAGCCCGAACAGUGUUUCUACAGAGAAGAUGAUCAAUGACAUACAGGACAUAGUCACCAGCAACCACGCUUCUUGAAAUCUAGGAUCCCACGAAUUGUAAGAAGCAUAAAUUCAUGUAAAAUUAAAAAACAGUGGAAAAAAAGAAAGAAAAAUGCUGCCAAUCAAUCUACAAAAUGUCAUCAAUUCUAAGACUCAUCACAGUUUCAGAGAAUUAAAAUAUGAAAACGUCUUUGAAUUGCUAAAAUAUAAUAAAUUGUUCCUCUCAAAUCCUGAGUGAGUUGUUUAGCUGUAUAGAUGAUAUGACAGAAUCAGACUGGCAAGAGGGAAAAUUGAAUUAUAAAAGUAAAUAGUCAGCUUCUAUUUUUAAGAUAUCCUCUACAAGGCAAAUAGAACUCACCACAAUGAGAAGUUGUGAAGCCAAUUGAAUCGACAAAACCUCCCCAUCUCAUAUUCCUUCCUCACUUAGUUCCUAACCAUCUCUCCUAUAAUAAGGAGAAAUCCACAUUUUACCAAGAUUCCCAGGUGAUUCUUGUGCACAAUAAAAUUUGAGAUGUGCCAGCCUAGAACAUACAAUGCACUGUCCCUAAAUGGAGUAAGAUGUGUGAUGACCCUCUAAUAGCUGGUGAAAGAAUGGGAACUGCUUUGUUUUGUGAAAUAAUACAAUCUACUUAGAAGUAAUGAAUUCAUAGUAUUUCCAACAGCUCAUUGGAGAACAUAAUUAAAUGUCAAAACCUUGAUGGAAUAAAAGAUCCUGUUUGUCUCCCUCCCCUGAAGACUAUUUUGAGUUACACAGUUGCAUAUUCGGAAAAAAAAAUCAAUCUUAUAAGAGGGCUUUGCUUUAAGUAUAAAAAUAUUGUAGUGAGGGGUUUUAUUCAAGUACAUAUAAAAAAGUCAUGUAUUCCAGAAGCAAAAAUUAUGUACAUAUCGUACCCAUACAUUUAAUUAGUCAUUGUAUUUGGUGUACAAAUGGCCUUACAGUUUAGGAGACAAAUAAAAAGUAUGCUUUUGCUUGUUCUUAUUUUUGAUCAAUCAAAAUAGUGAAAGUGCUUCCUGUGUUUUACUUCUAUAUUUUGAAGAGCGGGAAUACAUCCACUCCAUUUUGAUCUGAUUAAAUGUCUCAGGUUAUUUUAAACCUCUCUCAUCUCUCACUCCUUUCUGGCUUUUUCGCCAUUUCUCUUACAAUCAAGGGAAAUAGAGACAGUUAAAAGAAAAUUGAGAAAUCUGUCUAUGUAAAGUAAUUAAUUUUUAAAAAUUGUUCUGCUGUAUGCUUGAAAGAGGAGGCAAAAAAAAAAAAAGAAAAGAACCUCAAAAACUCGCAAAAAAAUGUGUUUCUAAGUCCAUAAUAUUCAAUUAUAAAUCAAUGGUACGUGAUUUAACCUAAAUUCCAAAAAUGACUGAAAUGUUUUCUUCGUCACUAACAUG
RNAcentral lists this long non-coding RNA (2437 nucleotides) under Equus caballus (horse). RNAcentral's name for it is "lncRNA (ENSECAG00000050752.1)". The record is from RNAcentral. Lineage: Eukaryota; Metazoa; Chordata; Mammalia; Perissodactyla; Equidae.